UCUCGAUUUGUCUAGUGUUUAGGAUACCUGCUUGUCAUCGUUUCUCUGGUCGACUGUAUAGUCUCCAGAAAGAUGAAGCCCGCAGGUAGCCGGGGUUCAAUUCCCCGAUCGAGAG
Molecule: non-coding RNA, 115 nt
Organism: Hypoxylon sp. FL0543
Lineage: Eukaryota; Fungi; Ascomycota; Sordariomycetes; Xylariales; Hypoxylaceae
Source: the annotation of a GenBank genome assembly